AUGCCGCUUACCUCCUCUGCAGCAGCAGCAGCAGGGACCAACAGAACAGCUUCCAAUACUUGUUGUUGGUAUCCACCGGGCGACUAUACCCAACAAUUUCGUAAAAUGGCUAAGCAUCUCCUCUCUUUUUUUUUUUCUGUCUAUUGCUGCAUUUGCAUGCAGUUUUUCCUCUUCUGGCUUUGCUUGGUAAAGUUUCACAACACAAACUGGAGCUGUAAUAACGAUGUAAAAUCUGUUGUUUCAUUCUUCGAUAAUGGAACGGGCUGUGGCCCUUUUGCUCUAAAAAAACAAAUGUUGACAAGAUUACCUACAAGCCUACGACUAAGACUGCAUUCUAUAAUAUAUAAUAUAAAAAAAACAACUAUAUAUUUGUUUCCGUCCUUGAAAAACUCUACAGAAAGAAAGAGAAGGAGCUGA
Molecule: ribosomal RNA, 417 nt
Filed under: Triticum aestivum (bread wheat)
Lineage: Eukaryota; Viridiplantae; Streptophyta; Magnoliopsida; Poales; Poaceae
Description: partial small subunit ribosomal RNA
Source: RNAcentral